Molecule: long non-coding RNA, 648 nt
Filed under: Anser brachyrhynchus (Pink-footed goose)
Lineage: Eukaryota; Metazoa; Chordata; Aves; Anseriformes; Anatidae
Description: lncRNA (ENSABRG00000011865.1)
Source: RNAcentral
GCAUUUUGUUCCUCAGGAAGAAAGCACAAAAUGACCAUUAAGAAAUGCCAGCAGAGGAGAGGAAACAAUCUCACGGCAGAACGACAGCCCGUGGGGCAUGGGCUGCCCCAGCCAAGAUCCCACCCGUCCGUCUCAGCUGCCACUGAAUGCAGGGCUCCAUGAUACAGUGGUGCCACGUUGUGCUCCUAAUCCCACCUCCGUGCCUGGGAUUUCCCUGAAAGUUCCCAUUUCUCCUUGUCUGGACUUAUACAGCUGCACCAGAUGAACGGUACUUGCUCCAUCCAUCCUUGCUACGACAGCCUCGUGGCGCGCAUGCUGUGUUCAUUUCUCUCCCCACUGACCUCGCCAGUCUUCUCUGGAGUGUGCUCGCACAAAAAGCAAAGCAGAACUGCAAUUACUCCGCUGCGAUCACGGGAACAUUGAAAACAGUGUGGAAGCAUGAGCAAUGCGAGCACCCUGGCCAUGGGUUGCCAUUCCAGCUGUGCAUGGACCAGAAGGGAUCAGAGCUGAGCUUGAAAGCCCCCCAUUGCCAUCCAGGGCUGGGAUCAGCCCCAAAACUGCUCUCCGGCACCCCCAGCGCGAUGGGAUCUGAGGGCGCUCAGGAUCUGACGUGUUUUACCAAACCACGCUCUUCAGGACUUGGCUGCU